GUGAAAUUGGAUCCCAUUAAAACAUGGAGUUAGUGGAAUGGUGACAGAUGGGCCCUGCUGGGCAGAAGAUCAUUGAACAAGAUUGGGACUUGCUGGGUGAUCACAGAACUGCAAGCAACUCCAACAACUGUCUCUGGCCCUGAUUUUGACCCAGACUUCCGCUCUGCAUCACAGCUCCUUGUUGAUUGUGCAUGAAAGUAAUUUAGCAACUGAAGGCAUAAACAUAUUUGAAGAUACUUUACAGAUGAAAACUGGAAGACA
Molecule: long non-coding RNA, 261 nt
Organism: Struthio camelus australis
Lineage: Eukaryota; Metazoa; Chordata; Aves; Struthioniformes; Struthionidae
Source: RefSeq, a predicted model, not a curated record